This is a long non-coding RNA of Gallus gallus (chicken), 1278 nucleotides long. Lineage: Eukaryota; Metazoa; Chordata; Aves; Galliformes; Phasianidae. The record is from Ensembl.
AGAGAUAACCAGGCCUUGCAAAGCAGACACUCAUUCAGAGAUAUGUCCUUGCAUGCCUUCCAUGUACCUCUGAGGUCAGUAACUCGUCCUCAAGAAUUUUACCUAGCUCUGUCCCUGGGAAAAGGUCUAAAUCACAAAAUCUAAGAAGAAGGAGGUCUGCGUGCCUGACCAACCUGAUAAACUCCUAUGAUGAAAUCAUCGGCCUGAUGGAUGACAAGGGAGCAGUGGAUAUUCACCUUGUUGGACUUCAGUAAGACCUUUCACAUUGUCCUCCAUAGUAUCCUCACAGAAAAGCUGUUGAAGUAUGGGCUGGAUGAGCAGAUAUGGAUGCAGAAGUGGACUGAAAACUGUCUGAAUGGCCAGGUCAAGAGAGAUGAUCCUUGUGCUCUACUCAGUGCUGGUGAGGUUGCAUCUCAUAUACAGCACCCAGUUCUGGUCUACUCAGUACUAAAGAGACCUGGAUGUACUGGAAAGAGUCCAGAGGAGGACCAUCAAGUUGAAGAAGGAACUGGAGCACCUCUUCUGUGAGGAGAGGCUGAAAGAUCUGGGACUGCUCAGUACGUAGAAGCAGGCUCAGGAGAGAUCUCAUAGACUAGUAUCUUUGAAGGGAGGGUGAAGACACCCCAUGUUAUUUUCAGUCAUGUUGCGCUAGGACAGGGCUUAAUGGGCACAAACUGGAGUACAGGAGGUUCUGUCUAAGCAGCAGGAAACACUUCUUUAUUUUGUGGGUUAUAAAGCACUGGCACAGGUUGUCCUCUGCUGGUUGUAGAGCCUUGUACUUCAGAAGCUAUCUAGACUUUGUCCUAGGCAACCUGUACAAGGUUUCCCUGCUUGAGCAGGAGGGGCUGACCAGAUGAUUUCCAGAGGACCCUUCCAAUCUCAACUAUUCUGUGAUCCUAUGAUUCAAAUGCACCAUUUGUUCGAAAAACUCUAAGGAAAUAUAUUAAGAAAAUGUCUCUCUGAUAAUACAGCUUAUGUGCAAAGCUCAGUGGAGAGAAUACUAGACAAUCAUCCUUAGUUUACAGAAUAAAAAGCAACAGAGAAAUCAAGGUCACUUACAAAUUAAUUAAUUUUAUAGCAAAGUCUUCACUAACACUGAACUCAGAAAAACAGAAGUUCGUGUUUUAUAAAAGUGGCAGUUAACUAACACUAAUAAAAAUGAGCUAGACUGUGGCUGCAGACUGAAAAAUAAAAAAUUCAUGCCUGAUAAAUAAGCAUCUCAAUCCAUUUUGUCUGCAACAUGGAGGAAGACAAUAAAAACUGACAAUAAUUCAAAGG